Molecule: RNA transcript, 3267 nt
Organism: Scylla paramamosain (green mud crab)
Lineage: Eukaryota; Metazoa; Arthropoda; Malacostraca; Decapoda; Portunidae
Gene name: gastrula zinc finger protein XlCGF57.1-like
Exons: 6
Source: RefSeq, a predicted model, not a curated record
CGUCCGCGUGGUGCUGUGGUCAGUGGUCAGGUCACGCCGAGUGUGCGGCAGAUUGCGCCUGUGUUUGAGCUGGCCUGGGUCACCUGUGGCCACCUGGCGGACUGGCGGCGCCUCCCUGGCCUCACCUGAGGGCGUGCAGGACAGCAGUGGCGAGACGGCAAGACCCCACCAGCAAGUCCAUUCUGCCCCAGAGCCCCUCGGGUCAGUGGCCGGCAAGUCCUCCCGUCCAUUCUGCCCCAGAGCCCCUCGGCCAGGUCCCACUGCAAGAUGGCGUCGUCCUUCCCCCCGCUGACCAGCAAGGAACCCUCGCUGGGGUGCCACUCCACGGUGCUGACCGGCGCUGAGUGGUGCUUCAGCUCUGCCACAGCCCGCGUCACUUCAACUACAGCCUUUGCAAUGUAGAAAAUGUUGUUAACCUGUCACCAGAACCACAAAAACACCCUUAAAAACCCGUGUCACUUCAACUACAGCCUUUGCAAUGUAGAAAUGUUGUUAAUCUGUCACCAGAACCACAAAAACACCCUUAAAAACCCGUGUCACUUCAACUACAGCCUUUGCAAUGUAGAAAUGUUGUUAAUCUGUCACCAGAACCACAAAAACACCCUUAAAAACCCGUGUCACUUCAACUACAGCCUUUGCAAUGUAGAAAUGUUGUUAAUCUGUCACCAGAACCACAAAAACACCCUUAAAAACCCGCGUCACUUCAACUACAGCCUUUGCAAUGUAGAAAUGUUGUUAAUCUGUCACCAGAACCACAAAAACACCCUUAAAAACCCGCGCCACUUCAACUACAGCCUUUGGAAUGUAGAAAUUUUGUUAAUCUUUCACCAGAACCACAAAAACACCCUUAAAAACCCGCGUCACUUCAACUACAGCCUUUGCAAUGUAGAAAUGUUGUUAAUCUGUCACCAGAACCACAAAAACACCCUUAAAAACCCGUGUCACUUCAACUACAGCCUUUGCAAUGUAGAAAUGUUGUUAAUCUGUCACCAGAACCACAAAAACACCCUUAAAAACCCGCGUCACUUCAACUACAGCCUUUGCAAUGUAGAAAUGUUGUUAAUCUGUCACCAGAACUGUAGUCGCAGCGGCUGGGCAUGAGUUGGCUCUCAGGUGAUCUGUUUUACCAAUCACACCAUCAUCGUAGGGUAGAGGAGAGGCAGUUCUCCCUGACACGUUUAUUGAUGAGGUAGGCACGACCGUAACAACUGCGGACAAGUUCUCUGUCUCAAUUUCUUACAAGAUAACGUUACACGCUGAUAUUAAACACUUUCAACAUAUUACAGUAUUCAUUAACAAUACAUGCAGUCAACUUGGCACUAUGACAAGCAGUUUUUACCACAAAAUUAAAGUAUUUACCUCGGUCACCAUCCUGCCCGUCUUUGUCUGAGCGCGACUUGGCCGUGAGUGAUGCCCGCAGGCGACCAGCAGGUUAACCCCACACUACCAACAAGUGAGCAUCGGCUUUGUGCUCAAUAUAGCACUGAAUACUGAUACUCACACAUGUUACACGUUUUCAUGCAAAUAGAAGACUAUUGAACAUUUCACUUAUAAAUGCCGAGGAAUAAUGACGUGAGGUACAAACGCUUUACGUACAGUAACACAGUCCAUUUACCAGGCUUUACUACUGCUUCCUUUCUUCAGUAUUACCAAAGUUUACUCAGCUGAACCUUUUAUUUCAAAGUGAAAGAGUGGUCAUAACUGAAUUGCACAGGCAGGUUUGUAAUUUAUAUAAAGAAUUGCUACUGAUGUACAUGAACCAUGAAUACAUUGUGAAAACCAUGCUUUCAAAAGUUGAUCCAAGAUAUCAACGUGAGUUCCUGAUGCUAGAGCAGGUGUAUUUGGGUGCAUCUGUCUUAAAAACAGUAACAGACAAUCCAGAAUUAAGCAAGCAAAAAAAGGAAAUGUACGAGUUUGGCUUCCACUGCAGAUUAUUUUUGAUAGUAGCAGCAGAACAGAUCAGGAAGAGAUUUCAUUUCUGAGAUGAAGAAGUCCUUUCAAGAAUGCACAUGCUGGAGCCAGCCAGUGUUCUAGGCAUCCAGGGCAAAGUGCAAGAGCAAAGUGUGGUGCCCCUCGCGACACACCUUCCCCGAAUCAUUGCCCAGGAUGAUUCUACCCUCCAGCAACUGGACGAUGAGUGGAAGAGGCUUGCCGUAGAAGAUCUGCCUGAAUCCAUUACCAACAUGGCGAAAAAAGUGGACAAAAGCAAUUACAACCAGCCUGAUAAAUUUUGGUGUGCCAUAAAAACUCUGGAGGAUAGUGAUGGAAACCCCAAGUUUAAGCUUGUUUCAGACUUUUCACUAGGAUGUCUUUCUUUGCCUCAUGCUAAUGCUGACUGUGAGUGCUGCUUCUCUAGUGUAAACCGUGUGAAAACAAAAGACAGAAAUAAGCUAAUAACAGAAACCGUAAGAGACAUGAUCCUAGCGAAGCAGUGUGUUGCGUCCACAUCCAGCAGUGACUGUACGACCUUCAAGCCAUCAAUCAAAGUCAAUGAUAAAAAACAUGACAUCAAGAGUGCUAUAUUCCUCCAAUGAAGAGAGUGCCGGGGCUGCUGACGACGUGCCCCAUGUAUAUAUAGAAGAACAAGACCACUAAUCUCCUACAUACAUCAAGAUCAAGAUCAAGUCUGGUGGAGGGAACAGAGGCGGCGUCCGCGUGGUGCUGUGGUCAGUGGUCAGGUCACGCCGAGUGUGCGGCAGAUUGCGCCUGUGUUUGAGCUGGCCUGGGUCACCUGUGGCCACCUGGCGGACUGGCGGCGCCUCCCUGGCCUCACCUGAGGGCGUGCAGCAGUGGCGAGACGGCAAGACCCCACCAGCAAGUCCAUUCUGCCCCAGAGCCCCUCGGGUCAGUGGCCGGCAAGUCCUCCCGUCCAUUCUGCCCCAGAGCCCCUCGGGUGUCUACUGCCUCCUCCUACAAAGGCUGGCAAGUCCUCCCAUCCACUCUGCCCCAGAGCCCCUCAGGUCAGUGGCCGGCCACUCAGAACGCUGCACCACUGCUGUCAACACUUGGUUCUUUGUCACAAGUUACCACCAACAAAAACUGAUUUGCUCGCUCUUUGCACGGCUGUGGUGGCCCGCACAGAGUCAGUUGUUGUGUGGCGGCCCUACUCUGUAUGGAGGCUGUGUGUUAGGCUGAGGCUGAGGCAGGAAGCCUCUUGCUGCCUGCGUGGUGACGGCCUCCUCUGUUACAGGUGCCAGGUGUAUCUUGUCUGUGGAGGCUGUGUGUUAGGCUGAGGCUGAGGCAGGAAGCCCCUCGCUGCCUGUGUGG